RNAcentral lists this transfer RNA (73 nucleotides) under Methylacidiphilales bacterium. RNAcentral's name for it is "Candidatus Methylacidiphilales bacterium tRNA-Arg". It matches the Rfam family "tRNA". Rfam says of the family: Transfer RNA (tRNA) molecules are approximately 80 nucleotides in length. Lineage: Bacteria; Pseudomonadati; Verrucomicrobiota; Methylacidiphilae; Methylacidiphilales. The record is from RNAcentral.
GACCCUGUAGCUCAAAUGGAUAGAGCAUCGGUUUCCUAAACCGACUAUCCCAGUUCAAUUCUGGGUGGGGUCA